UGAGGAAUAUUGGGUCAAUGGGCGAGAGCCUGAACCAGCCAAGUAGCGUGCAGGAUGACGGCCCUAUGGGUUGUAAACUGCUUUUAUAAGGGAAUAAAGUGGGUCACGUGUGACUUUUUGCAUGUACCUUAUGAAUAAGGACCGGCUAAUUCCGUGCCAGCAGCCGCGGUAAUACGGAAGGUCCAGGCGUUAUCCGGAUUUAUUGGGUUUAAAGGGAGCGUAGGCCGGAGAUUAAGCGUGUUUGUGAAAUGUAGUGGCUCAACCUCUGCACUGCAGCGCGAACUGGUCUUCUUGAGUACGCACAACGUGGGCGGAAUUCGUGGCGUAGCGGUGAAAUGCUCAGAUAUCAUGAAGAACUCCAAUCGCGAAGGCAGGCGAUCCGGGGUACAACUGACGCUGAGGCUCGAAAGUGCGGGUA
RNAcentral lists this ribosomal RNA (418 nucleotides) under uncultured Prevotella sp. RNAcentral's name for it is "bacterial SSU rRNA". It matches the Rfam family "Bacterial small subunit ribosomal RNA", at positions 355 to 767 of the family's 1533-position model. Lineage: Bacteria; Pseudomonadati; Bacteroidota; Bacteroidia; Bacteroidales; Prevotellaceae. The record is from RNAcentral.